UGCCAAGUCAGCCUUUUUCCAAUUGAAGUGAUGGGGGCAAACAAAGUACUGUGACGUGUACACCUGCAGCUUACUGAAGGAAAUGAGAGAUGACUGCUGAGAACUCCCCGCACCCUCUGACCUCGGCUUCCGACUUCACCAGAAAAUGGAGGAGUUUGAGAAACCAGCCCGCAGCUUCUGCCCAUAUCAAGCUACAUGUGUCUACAUCAGCUGCACCAUCCCUGUGGAUCAUGUGAGUUAUCAUUGAGCUAACAAGACUUGAUGAACUCCAUACGCUGCUUUUAAGCCCAUCUUUGGGGUAGAGCUCUGGUGCUGAUGAAAGUCAGGGGUGGUGGCAGUGGAAUAUUACAGUGCACUUCUUUAAGUGGCAGAGUAAGAGGAAUGACCUCUCAUAAAAUCCUAAUUAAGGUAAUGUGUGAAUGAGCAGUGGAGCCUUGUGGAUGCUGAUGGUGAUAAAUGUCCGUCCCCCCAAAGCCACACUGAAGGUGAAAGUGGCUCUGGAGUUCAGGUAGCCCACUGUGCCUUAUUACACUUGAGACACUAAGGAGGACACCGAGUCGAUGCUUCUUGUGAGGAAAGAAAACAGCAUUGAGCCACCAAAUCUGUUUACUUUGCAGCCGGUGUUUUUCUGUGGAGACAUAGCAGCGCCAAUCAUCUGAUGAGAUUCAGGGGCAUAUACUAAAGUAGUCACUUUGACAAUUCAUUCCCUGAAAGCCAAAAGUAAUGUUUCCAUUUUUGUCCAAGAAAGAAUAUCAGCUUUGACAUUUGAGCUGCAAUUCCCAUGGAACAGCUUGUCUCUUGGCAUCAAGGGCAUGAAAAUGAGUGACUUUCAAAGAUGGCUGUGCUUUAAUUUGACAAUUCUAAAUGUGCCUCAAUGCAAGAGCCAGAAUCAAGACGGUGUCUGGUUCCAUCACGUUUGUUCUCUUUCACACUCAUCCAGGAGAGGCCUGCUUUGUGCUUUGUUCAUGAUACUGACUCUGGGGCUUUCGUGAUUCAUUACAAAGCUGAGAUUUACGGCUAGCUUAUUGAAGAUUCUGUGAGGAACUUUCAAUUGUCACCCUUGGUUUUUUCCUUUUCUGUCAAAUCUUUUGGUCACUGUGAAUUUAUUCAGCAGAAAAUGUAAGCACCGCAAAAUAAAUACGGUGAAACUUCAA
Notolabrus celidotus (New Zealand spotty) is the source of this 1154-nucleotide long non-coding RNA. RefSeq lists it as uncharacterized. The transcript has 3 exons. Lineage: Eukaryota; Metazoa; Chordata; Actinopteri; Labriformes; Labridae. The record is from RefSeq and is a predicted model, not a curated record.